This 3776-nucleotide long non-coding RNA is filed under the name Gossypium barbadense (sea-island cotton). RNAcentral describes it as "long non-coding RNA (GBAR_LNC001994)". The record is from RNAcentral. Lineage: Eukaryota; Viridiplantae; Streptophyta; Magnoliopsida; Malvales; Malvaceae.
AAUUAGUACAAAAUAUUAUCUUAUUGUAAAAUAAAUUUUGAUUGCUAAAAGGGAAUUGUACUAUAGUAUUUUAUAACAAAUAUAUUUAUGGCAUAUUCCUUUCACUAAAAAUAACUUUUAAAAAAUGAUUUCAAAAAAAUUACCAAACAAUGUAAAAUAUUUUAAGCAAAAUCAUGUAAACACUAAAAACUAUAAAUUUUUCUAGAAAAUCAAACUACAUUUUUAUAAUUAUUUAGUAAAAGUUGUUUUCGACGAAAUAAACUGAACAAAAAUUCAUUUUGUUCUCCAUUUAAUGAUUGAUGUAUAAAAAGGUACUGUAAAAGGUUUCUUUAAAUGAAAAUUGAUAUUCUUUGUAUGCACUAUUGAGAAUUCAAUGGCUGGUGAUUUAUCUUCGAGUCCAGGAAAUCACCAUCUUCCAAUUUAGCGAUUUUAUCUGCUACUCACGAGAAAUGCGUCUGAAGAAUAGGCCUCUGCAACUCCGUCUGACACUAUGCACUCACCCGACCAGUGAGAGUGGCAAGUUUGAAGUAUUCCCUUCCUACAGAACUCAAUUGCUUGCAUGCUAUCAGUCUCAACUACAAUCUGAGCAUGGCCUCUCGUUAAAGCCAAUUGAAUGCCUCCAAAAUGGGCCAAGGUUCUGCCUGUAUAACUGAACCCACAAUACUCCUGCAAAACCCCACUAUCCAGUUUGCCUUUUGAAUCAUGUAAUACACCCCCAAUCGAACUUUUGCCGUCAUCCAAAUUGAAUGCACCGUCCUUAUUCAAUUUUGUCUCGCCAAUGUUGGCCAGUAACCACUGAUCGUGAAUUUCUUUGUAACUCUUUUACUCAUUAAAAUAUAUCACAUUAAAAAUAGUGUCAUAUUAAUCUCUCUUUUUUUUUUGUUAAGAGUAUUUUUCUUAAUGUUCCAUAAUGUUUUCAAGAUUAUCCCACUAACACUUUAUAUAUUUUGCACCAAUAAUACAUGAAUAUAUGCAAAUUAUAAAUACAUAUAUGAUAAUUUAAACAUGGUUAUGAUACAUAAAAGUUAUAGAAUACGAUAUUAAUAAACAAAUUAUCAAAUCUACUCUCAAAUUUCAAGAGACAAGAAGAGAUCUAUAUUGAAACUGUGAAUUAAAUAAUUCAUUUAACUUUAUGGUGUUUAUAUAAUUUCAUCUCUUAUAAUUGUAAUUAAAGUAUUAUGUAUUUUUAAAAAGUUUGAUAUAAAUAUUAUGUUUUUAUAUUUUAUUUGUUGUUAUUGUAUGAUUUGGGGUGCCUAAUCUCAUUAUAAUUGUCAACGAAUAUCAAUUUUGUCAUUGUUUACGUGAGCCCUCUUUUUUAAAAAUACCCCAAGCCCAAAAGCAAAGUCAUUUCCUCAGCUACUCAGCUAUGAGGUAGUGGUGGUAGCGAAAGUAUUUGAUAAGUUCCUUAUUUAUGAUAAUUCCGUCAAUUUAAUCUUUCACCUUAGUUUUUGUAUUGUUAAAAAUAAUCUAAUAAAAGUUAAAUUUUAAUAGAGUUCAAAAUUAUUGUUUAAAAAAAUAAAAAAUUAUUUGUAGUUUAAUUCCAAAUAAAAAAUUUAAUUUACAUCGCAGCUCAACUGAUCUGGAACAGUAUUUGGAUUUACCUCAUUUGGUGGGUAGAAAUAAAAAAGCAUCUUUUUAGAAUUUGAAGGAUAGAUUACUAAAACGGAUUAAUAAUUGGAGUAUAAAACAUCUUUCUCAAGGUGGUAAGGAGGUUUUUAUCAAAACGGUUCUACAGUCUAUUCCUACUUAUUCAAUGGCAUGUUUCUUGCUUUUUAAGUCGUUAUGUGUUGAUUUGGAGGGUAUAAUUGCGAAAUUUUGGUGGAAAAAAAAAAGAGGCAAAAGGGGUAUACACUGGUGUGCAUGGAAUGAUAUGUGUUCAUUAAAAGAAGAUGGACGUCUCGGUUUUAAGAGACUUGAUAAAUUUAAUAUCGCAAUUCUUUGUUAGCCCGAGUUUUGAAAGCUAAAUAUUAUGUGAAUUCAAACUUUUUAAAUGCUCCUUUAGGGAACUCACCUUCACUUACCUGGAAGAGCAUCUGGUCAGCAAAAGGACUGUUGGAGAAGGGCCUAUGUUGGAGAGUUGGCAAGGGGGAUAGUAUCUCGGAUUGGACAGAUCUUUGGGUAUCGGAUAGCAACGAAGAUAGGAUACAAAAUGUACACAACAACAAAAAUAUAGUGUUAGUAUCGGACCUAAUCGAUGAAGUAAAUAGAAGUUGGAAGGCUGAAUUAAUUGCCAAUACCUUUCCGGUGAAUAUUGCUAGAAGAAUCAUGCAGAUCCCUUUGGUGAGGUCAGCCCAUGACGAUUUACAAGUUUGGAAAGGAGAACCAUCCGGUAAUUUCUCAGUGAGAAGUGCCUAUAUACUAAUGCAAAAGUCUACUCUAAAUCCUAGUAAUUUUUUACAGGCUAAUACUAAAGCUUUUUACAAGAAAUUGUGGAACAUAAACAUGCCUUUGAAAAUUAAAAUUACAGCGUGGAAGAUUUCUUGGGACUUUAUUCCCACUUUCUCAAAUCUCAAGUUAAAAAGAGUACCUAUUGAUGAUCGGUAUCCUAGGUGCUAGCAAAAUGGGGAGGAUAGCAAUCACGUUUUCCAACAGUGCCCUACAACGGUAGAAGUAUGGAGGUGUUUAAACUCUUCAUGGAUACUCAGUCACAAUGCACAAAACAUAUGGGAGUGGCUUACCUGGGUGUUUAGUCAAGGUACAAAUGAGCAGUGUUGACUCUUCUGUUGCUGGUUGUGGUUAAUCUGGACAAACAAAAACAAAUUAAUAUAUGAAAGGAAAAACACAACAGGUAGGGACAUCUCAAAGCAAAUUUACAGUUUUAUCUCAGAGUUAAAGGGGAUAGAGGAAAAAGAACUCAUCUUGGAAGAAGGCAGGAGACCCGGAUAUUAUGAACAGAGGACGUCUGUGGCUAUUUACUUUGAUGCGGCUUUUGAUCAACAAUCUUUUAGAUCGACGUCGGAGCUAGUAGUACGAGAUGUGGGAGGUAACAUUUUGGUAUCCAAGUUUGUACUUCACUCCGAUGUGGCAUCUCCGUUUGCGGCGGAAGCACAUGCAGGUUUUCAAGCAACAAAAUUAGGGAUUGAUAUGGGUUUUCAAGUUCUACAAAUAAUAGGAUAUUCAAGAAGGGUGAUAACAAAAUGCCAGAGUACAGAACAAGACAGAUCGAUGAUCAGGGCAAUCAUAAGAUAUAUUCAAAGUACAAAGAAUCAUUUUCAAGAACUUCAAUUUCGUUUUAUACCAAAGACAGGAAACAUUUAUGCCCAUUUCAUAGCAAAAGAAGCAUUAAAGAUUGGUGAAGGUCAAUACCUGGAAGGAGACAUCCCAAGUUCUGUUCGGAUUGUAAUAGAGAAGAAGCAUAUGAGAAUCACAGACCGAAAUGCUUGGUGAGAAAGGGUUUAAGGAGUUUCAAAUGGAAAGUAUUGAAAAGUCUCUUCUCUGAUAAUGUAGCAGAUAAGCAAAAUAUUGAAAAAGAUCUACUAUAGAGUAAUGGCUAGUGUUGGUGAUGUGAAACGUCUCUGUUGGAGACAUGAAUUGACAGGAAAUAAUGGUGACCAGCUGUUUUUGACGACUGGAUUUUAAAUUAGGUUUCCUUUUUAUCUUUUUAUCUACUUCAUUCUUAAGUCUGGUUUAAUUUUUGGGCCAUUCUGAUUAAGGCCUGGUACUUUUACUUUUCUUAUUAGGCCUGCGGUGUUGGAUUUAACCCAUCUCAGCAGGAAAACUUUCAUUUGUAUGAUGUUUUAUUUUAUUUUAAUCCAGUCGAUCCAUUCAAAAAAAAU